This 235-nucleotide unclassified non-coding RNA is filed under the name Glomus sp. RNAcentral's name for it is "partial contains 5.8S ribosomal RNA and internal transcribed spacer 2". The stretch from base 1 to 65 matches the Rfam family "5.8S ribosomal RNA", at positions 84 to 154 of the family's 154-position model. Lineage: Eukaryota; Fungi; Glomeromycota; Glomeromycetes; Glomerales; Glomeraceae. The record is from RNAcentral.
GUGAAUCAUCAAAUUUUUGAACGCAAAUUGCACUCUCUUCGGAGAGUAUGUCUGUUUGAGGGUCAGCCUAAAAAAAAUCGACAUAGUCCCUGUUUCGCGGUGCCGUUCGUCGGAAGUUGGGUAAUCUUAAACCUUCGGUUUUUAGGCGGCUUAAAAUUUUCUUUCCGAUUCCCCGAACGUUUCUAAGAUUUACUUCUUAAACGUUUAAGGUAAUCAAUCUUUUUUAACCGUGUCC